Tinamus guttatus (white-throated tinamou) is the source of this 437-nucleotide non-coding RNA. Lineage: Eukaryota; Metazoa; Chordata; Aves; Tinamiformes; Tinamidae. The record is from RefSeq and is a predicted model, not a curated record.
UUAUGGAGUUGACCACGGGGUGUUUUUGCUUCUGUCUUCACAGAGAUUGCCCUAGUGACCAGCAAACCUGAGAAAGUUGCUCCUUCCCGUCAGGAUAUAUUCCAAGAACAACUGGCAGCCAUUCCUGAGUUUAAGAACUUGGGUCCAUUAUUCAAGUCUUCAGAACCAGUGCAGCUCACGGAAGCAGAAACAGAGUAUUUUGUUCGUUGUAUUAAACACGUGUUCACAAACCACAUAGUUUUCCAGUUUGACUGCACAAACACAUUAAAUGAUCAGCUGUUAGAGAGAGUCACUGUGCAGAUGGAGCCGUCGGAUGCUUACGAUGUGAUUUGUUGCAUCCCAGCACCCAACCUUGCUUACAACCAGCCGGGAAUGUGUUACACACUCGUCCAGCUGCCCCAGGAUGAUCCUACUGCAGGUAACAAUUGGGAGGGAAU